This is a non-coding RNA of Rattus norvegicus (Norway rat), 37261 nucleotides long. The record is from RefSeq and is a predicted model, not a curated record. NCBI's taxonomy places the organism in Eukaryota, Metazoa, Chordata, Mammalia, Rodentia, Muridae.
CCUACUGACCCAAUGUUACAAGGAAGCAUCCAUGUCCAGGUGUUUCUUAGGGUGUGAUUAUCAGUUUGAGCUCAAACCCUCUCCCAAAUUCCCUCUGGUAUACAUUCUGUUUAAGGAAAUAAGACAAAUACAUCACUAAGCUUUGGGAGGACAGAGAAAGCAUAAACAGAAAACGACAAUGCAGCAAGGAGGCACUUUCAAUGCUGUGGACCAGAGGCACUGUGUGCUAAGCAAGAAACACUGUGCCAAGAAGGAUCUAUGUUCUGGAGAUAUGCUCUAUGGCUCGUAAGCAUCUCUCCUCCAGUACAUCCAUCAUCACGCUUGUCUUGCCACAGCCCCAGAAACAGGGAAACUAACUGAUCGUGAAACGAAACUUCUACAACUGAUUGGAAGAAUGAGGAAGAGAGAGAGAAAAGAGGAUGUGAACAAAGCAGAAGAAGAAGCUUGUUGCUAAUGCAGGUGGUGAGUCCAGUUGGAGCAUGUUUUUUUUUUUCAAAUGGACUUCUUUUAAAAAAAGUACAAUUUAUGUUCAUUGGUGUUUUGCCUGCAUGCAUGUGUGUUGAGGGUUUCAGAAGCCCUGGAACUAGAGUUACAGACAGGUGUGAACUGCCAUGUGGGUUCUGGAAAUUGAACCCAAGUCCCCUGGAAGAGCAGCCAGUGAUCUUAACUGAUGAGCCUUUUUUUUUUUUUUAAGAAAAGGAAACAUAGAAGAAAGGAAGACAAGAGAGGGGAGAAAGGAGGGGAAAAGAGGCAAAAGAGGGGAAAGGAGAGAGCUGGAAAAAUAGCUUAGUGGUUAGAAACACCCUAGGAUCUUUAAGAGGACCAGCGUUUGGUUCCCAGCACUGAUUUUUAGUCUUGGACAACUGUCUAAAACUACAACUCCAAGGGACCUGAUGCUCUCUUCUGGCUUUCAUGGGCACAACCCCUCUCCUACAUGCAUGUGCUUAUGCACAUGUACAUGUGUGCGCGCACACACACACACACAAAUGGAAUUAAAAUAAAUCUUUUAAAAAACAAGAGGAAGAAAAGAAAUGGGAAGGAGAAAGGAAAGAGAAAAAAGAGAAAGAGAAGAGAAAAGGAGAAAAAAGGAAAAAGAAGAGUAAUAACAUGAACAAAAGACAACAAACCACUGCCUAUAUGGAUAGAACUGAGGGGGAGUCAACUGGUCUACCUUGAAAUUUGCCAUUAGUAAAUGAACUCUGUGCUAACAACUCUUCAACUUUACAUUGUAAUAGGAGGAGGAAGAAGGAAUCAGGAGGAGAAGAGGAAGAAAGAGGAGGAAGGGAAGGAGAUAAAGAAAAAACACCUAGAGAAACAGAGAUAGAGAAACAGAGAGACAUACAUGAGAGGUUCAGAGAAGAUUUUUGUUGUGGAUUCCUGACAAUAUUUUACAAUGAGCUGGAAAGUGACUAUGGGAAGGUUUGCACUAUGUGGAGACUCACUGGCUAUAUUAUGUCAAAGCACUUAAAAGAAAUGUUAAACUGAAUAUUAAAUCAUGCAUUUUUAUUUUACACAAGACUCUGAGUUUUAUUGAUCUAUUGAGUGGAUACGAUUUUUCAGGCUGAGCUGUAGUGGCAUACACCUUUGAUCCUAGCCCUCAGUAGGCAAAGACAGGCAGAUCUCUGAGUUUGAAGUCAGCCUGGUCUAUAGAGCAAGUUUCAGGACACCCUGUCUCCAAACAAACAAACAAACAAACAAACAAACAAACAAGAUUUUUCAGAGUCAAUCUACUUAGCAGAUAAAGAAACAUAAAGGCAUUAAUCACAACUGAGAUAUAAGUAUCAAUUCAAACCUUAAAUCUUUUAUUAAAGCAUUCUUUUUAAAAUGAUGUUUUAUUUAUUUUAUGUAUAGGAGUGUUCUAUCUGCAUGGAUAGCUGCAUGACAGAAGAGGUCAUCUAACCUCAUUAUAGAUGGCUGUGGGCCACCAAUGAUUGUUAGGAAUUGAACUGUAGACCUCUGGAAGACCAGCCAGUGUUCUUACUGCUGAACCAUCUCUCCAGCCUAAAUUUUUAAAUCUUUUACAAGAUCUAUUUUUGACAGAUUGCAGACCUAAUCCUUAAAUGUAAACAAUAAAGUUUGUAAAAUAAAAUAUAAUUGUUUUAUAAUAUCAAGGAAAGUGUUCACUGUCUUAUGCUAAAAUUAAUUUACAUUAAUUUUUUUAUUUAGAGCUGGAGACAUGGCUCUGUGUUUAAGAGUCCACAGUCCUCUUGCAGAGGAGUUCAAUUCUCAGAACCCACAUUAGGGCUCACAACUGCCUUAAAUGCCAGCUCCAGGUGAUCUAAUACCCCUCUGAUACCCUCCCUGUACACACACACACACACACACACACACACACACACACACACACACACACACAAACACUUAGAUUUCUUUAAGAAUUUAAAGAAAAUUAUUUUUAAGAAAAAAUGUCUCUAAAGAAGAGUGAAAGUGUGGCCCAAAAUAAUAUACAAGUAAUAUAUAAAGAACUGUUCCAGAACAAAUAAAUACUUUUGUUUCAAUGGAUAUAUGCCAAUUAUUCAAUGUAUUAGUCAAGUACCAGAAAUAAAUUUCAAUGACAAUCAAGAAUACGAUUUGUUAUUUCAUAUAAUGGGUCCUGUUUAGCACUGAAAAGGAAUGCAGUAUUGCCACACACCUAACAACAUGGAUGGUCUUCUCAAACACUAAGCUGACAAAAAGCUAGAUGUGGCAGAAUACAUACUAUACGAUCAUAUCUACUUGAAGCAUAAUCAAACAAAAUCUAAUCAGUGGUGUUAGAAUGUAGGAUAGUGUUAAUCUGUGGUAAAAAGGCUGGCUGGGAGAUAAAGUAGUAGGUACUUUUCUAUCUAUAUGAGUGUUGAUUAUGUGAAUAUCUUCACUGUGCAAUUACAUGAGCUUUAUGCUUUAGAUAUAUACACUAUUCUGCCUAUAUGCCACAUUUUAUUACAAUUGAUAAAAACUGGAAAAUUAAAUAUACUCUCUCUUUUCCUCAUAUUACAAAUGAUACAAUGAUAAUGAGAAAGUAACAACUGUGUGUGUGUAUGUGUUGUGUGACGAGAGAAGGGGGUAGAGAGGGGGGAGGGGGAGUGAGAGUGGGAGAGAGGGGGAGAGGGAGAGGGAGACAAUGUGUUUAUGGAUGUGUGAGUGUACAUGUGCAUUCACGAGAAGACCAAACAAAAAGGAUUUCAAGUGUCUUCCUCUAUCAUUCUCCACCAUAUUGCCUUGGGAGAAAGUUUCUCACUAAACUGGAAGCUGUCCAUUUCGGUUAGUCUGGUUGAUCAGCAAGAUCUUCGGAUCCAUCUGUCUCUGCCCUCCAUGCUAGGAUUACUGGCAGGUGCAGCCAUGACUUGCUUUUUUGUAGGUGCUGAGGAUUCAAACUCAAGCCCUCAUCCUUAUAGAGCAAGCAUUAUUUGUGGUUGAAUCAACCUUUUUUUCAUCACUUUUAAUUAAGUCUAUACAUGUGUCUGUGUAGGGGUAGGCACAAGUGUGUGCAAGUAGCAGAGAAUAGCAGAGACAGCUCCAGACUCCUCUAGAGCUGGAGUUACAGAUGAUUGUAAGCCACCCAUCAAGGGUGCCUGGAAUUGGAAUCUGGUUCUCUUGAAGGGCAGGGCCUGCUCUUAACCACUGAGCCAGCUCUCCAGCCCCUAGCCUUUGGAAAACAGUUUUAUAAUGAGAACAUUAAUUUGAAAUUUUUUUAUAUUGGUAUGGUUUUGCUGUUCCAAAAAUUUGUGUUUUAUCUUUCUGCACACACACACACACACACACACACACACACACACACACACACACACACAGAGAGAGACAGACAGACAGACAGACAGACAGAGACAAAGACAAAGAGUCAAAGAAAGACAGAAAAUGGGGCAGAAUUUUUAUAUUGUUAGAAGUCUUUCAAUGAGGAGUUUAGGUAGAUUUUGAACUAUUACUUAAUUUUCUUAGCCAGGUAUAGAAGCACACCCUUGUAGUCACAGUGGCAGAGGGGCUAAAGCAGGAGGAUUACAAGUUUGAGAACAACUUAGACUACACAGCAAGACCUUGUCUAAAAAUCAUCAUCGUCAGCAGCAGCAGCAGCAGUAUCACCACCAGCACCAUCAUCAAUCCUCUAUGAAAACUUGGUUUAAUACUUUAUGGCAUAGUGACGUGAUUGAUUCUUAAUUUUCCAUCAUAUAGCAACAGUUACUGUUUCUGGUCACUUGCAUGUGUUAAGCACUUCUCCUUCAAAAUGAUCUUUAAAUAUUAAUGUUACUUGAUUCUCACAGUGAUCUAUGAGAUAGCUUUCAUUGUAUUUUGAUAUUAUAAGGAACAUGUUCAAGAUUAUGCACCUAGAAAUGGGUAGAAUGCAGAUUGUGCUGUGUGUACAACAAACAACUUCAUACAUGUAUAGGAAGUGCUCACAAUUUACUCACCAAUUUUAAAAGGCUUCAGAAUUUAAGAGUAAAACUCUACUACUUGCCACAACUUGGUCUCCUGAUACUGUUGAGCCUCAAUGAUCUUAGUUUGGAUGUUUAACUUCACCAGGAGCAUCUGGGACCACUUCAGCAGUGUUCCCUAGAAAAGGCCUCACCUCUCUUCGACUACCAGGCAAAUUCUUGUUCACUGUGGACAUCUCAGGACAAGUUCUUUUUUCCCUUAUAUCACCAGACAUUCCAGCCAGGGGAGUUCAUCUCUGUUCCCCGAAACACACUGCUUUUUGGAUGCUUAAAGCAGUAUUGUCUCCCAGAACAGUGGCGAGUUCUGGUACUUAAAAACAAACAAACAAACAAGCAAACCAACCAACCAACCAACCAACCAACCAUCCAUCCAACCAACCAAACAACCAUCCAACCAACCAACCAACCAACCAACCAACCAACCAACCAACCAACCAACCAACCAUCCAUCCAUCCAACCAACCAACCAACCAACCAACCAACCAACCAACCAACCAACCAACCAACCAAUCAACCAACCAUCCAACCAACCAACCAACCUCUGCCUCCCAGUGUCUCAUACCUGAAAACAGUAGAAACAACAUAAAUAUAGUUCUGAAUAAGGUAGGGAAAUAGUGUAUUCUGGGGUAGAUUUUAGCUACUUUUACUAUGCAGACACAUGCGCACACACAGGCACAAGUACACACACUGUAUAACAAGUAAGAUGAUAGACAUGUUAGUUUAAUUACCUAUAUUGAUCAUUUCACGAUUUUUGUCUAUGAAUAGCAAAAUAUGUUGUGUACUUUAAUCACAAAUGGCCUAAAGAAUAUUUAAAGGAAAUACAGAUUUCAAAGAAAAAAAAACUCUAGAGAAAAAUUACAUUUUAGAAGAGAGAGUUUAAUUUUCACAUCCAAGAUUCUGUGGUUUGCUUUAGAGGAAAGGACUGUUACCAGGUGUAGAGCAUCCACUAUGCUCCCAGGGCUCUAUGAACAACUUGUAUUGCUUUUUACAACCAUGCACUUUGGACUCUUUAUUUCCUCCUCUAAUAAAAACUUCCUCUGGUUUAUUUUCUCGGUGGCCUUCCUGAAGCCACAAAUGAAUAGCUGUCACUAGAUGAAUAGUACAUCAAGUCUUCCUGAAAUACCUUUCAUUAUGGCUCUUAGAAGACGCUGUCUAUAUUGUGAUUUUUAUAGCAAACUUAGAAGUAAUAUUUCUUUCUCUUGGAGGGUCAAUCCCCUUCAUGGCCCAUUAGACCAUUAAAUUAAGAUUUAACAUAUCUUUAUUCCACUGGACACUCAGAAAUUAGAAGUAACUAGACGUAUCUCCAUUAAUGUCUUUCAAAUGCCAUAUAAUAUAGUGGGAAAUAUAAGAAGGAACACAAAAAAAAGCAUCAUGUUGUGGGUCUCUAUGGUGAUGAAAUUAAUGUUAGUCGAUAAUUAUAUCUUUGAAUAUUCUAAUAAUUGUUAAAAAGAAAUAGAUCUUGGGGAAGCAAGAAGGAGGUUGAUGGAAGAAGAGGGGGAGGAGGGAGAAUGGCACCAAGGAAGUCUGCAAAAGCCAUAAGGAAUCGUAAUUUAUUUACCUAAAAUUCAUGUAAUACAUAACAGUAUGUAUAUAUAAUAUCUAUAUGUAUAUUUUAAUAAAGCAUUGCUUAAAGUUUAUUUAUUCUUAUUUUAUGUUCAUUAGUUUACAUGGAUAUCUGUGUGAUAGUACUGGACCUCUGGAACUGGAGUUACAGACUGUUGUGAACUACUAUAUGGGUGUUGGGAAUUAAAUCCAGGUUCACUGGAAGAGCAGCCAGUGCUUUUAACCACUGAGCCAUUUCACCAUCCCCUAUAUGUAUUUCUUUUUAAAUGCAUUCAUCUGAUUUGAUCUGGCAAUACUCCUUCCAGGAGUAUUUACACUAUUACUCAUUACAUUAUUUCUAUUGAUAAACCCCAAGUAAUGGUUUGAAUGAGAAUGGUGCCAUAGACCCAUAUAUUUGAAUUCUUGGUCACCAGUUGGAACCAUUUGGGAAAGAUUAGGAGGUAUGGCCUUGUUGAAGGCUUCGGAGUUUCAAAAGCCCACACAAGGCUCAGUGUCUCCUUCUGCCUAAGGAUCAGGGUGUAAAGCUCUCAGCUACUGCCUCCGGCACCGUGCCUGCCCAUCGGCUUGUCUGCCAUGACGAUUGCAGACUAAUCCUCUAAAACUGUAAGCAAGUGCAUAAUUAAAUGUUUUCUUUUGUAAGAGUUGCUUUGAUCAUGGUGUCUCUAUAUAACAAUAGAAGUGUAAUUAAAACACCCUAGAACUUAUAUUACGAAACAUGAGAUAGUCAUUUGUGUUGUAACUUGGCAACGUGUAAAGUUCUAAGAAGGAUCAUGAUCAACAUGGACUAUAAAAAGUGUCUCACUUUAAUGAAAUUCUGUAAUUGCUAAUUGCUCUCUUGUAUUCACUAUGUGACCAAUCCAUAUCUAUUUAUGAAUUUAUACCAGGUUCAAUUUGCUAUUGAAGAUGAGGGUAAUAGGUUACCGCAAGUAUAUGAUGCAAAUAUAAUAAUCUAAUUAAUUUAUCUAGGCCAUGUUCACCUCAGAGCUUUGCAAUAAUGUUUUCAAAGGUUUUUUCUCAGAGCAUUAAUGUGCCAUGUUGUCUGCCUUCCCCAUCUGCUUUGAUGAUAUAUAUUUUGUAAAUAGUUUUAUGAUUUUCAGUUAUGAGACAGCAGAGAAGUAUUAGAUAUUACAUAAAAGGCAAAAUAUUAGCCAUUACAGAAGUGGUAUGUGUAAGUAGGUAUCUCUACAUUAUUUAAAUCUGCCUGAUUUAAAUUCUGUCCUCUGCUUACAUAGUAUGUGACCAUGAGCAGGCUAUUUAGCUGCCUACUACUUCAGUUUUCUCACAUAUGAACUGGAAAUAAAAAUAGCAUGUACCUCUUAGGAAUGUUCUUGUGACUGUGAGAAUGAAAAUAGGCAGAAUAUGUGGAAACCAUUGGUGUUUAAUAGUAAGUUUUGCAGAGUUUAUUUAUCGUAAUCCACUUAUUCAUCUAUGGAAUUGCCUUAUCACCAUGAAAUGAAGCACUAUGCUUCCUGGGCUCUCCUGGGAAUGCACUUCAAAAUGUAGACUAGGUUUACACAUGUAUACGCUAUUUUACAGGAUCUAGAAAGCGUAAGUUAGAAACAGAAUGUCUUCUUUUCCCUUUCUGCUGCGAGUAAAGAUUAACCAGAGUUGAAUGUUAAGAAGCAAUGUAGUUGUCGGAGAGGAUAUAAAAACUGCCUUCAAGCCUCUUUCCCAUUAUAUAUAGAUUUAAGUAUGGUGUUAUGCAUUUUUCAAGGGUGCAUUAUUUUCUUUGAUCCAAUGUCAGGUUCUUAACACCCACUCCUUCAGUGCUUUGGUGAAAUUACAUUUAGUUCCCUGAAUUACAUUUUCCCCCUCAAACUACACUAAGAUGGUUUCUGUUUCAAACUAGCACUCUGAAUGAAUCACAUAGCAACCUGUGGUCCCACGCACCAAUACAUAGAACUCCAAGCCCAGUACUGUGCUAUAAUGAAUCUAAUUUGUGAGGUAUUAUUUUUUCGGUAAAAUAUAUUAACUUACUUCCUAUGGUCAACGAAGAAAUCAAUAUCACCUCUACUUGGUAUCAAAAGAAAUCACAACACUCACACACACACUCUCUCUCAUAUGCACACAACCAAAUACAUAGGUAUGUUUCCUGGUAACUUUCUUACAACACAGGGUAAUUUGACAGUACAGCCUGGAUUCAGGUAGUUUAAUACUGAUGCAUAGAAAGUUAUCUUUAGAGGUCUAGAAACCUUAAAAUAAGGCUUCUUGUUUCUGACCCACUAUUAUUUUUUUAUUUAGUAGUUAGAAAUGCCAACAGAGAAGAUGCCCUGUGCAUGUUUAUGACGUACUCCUUUUGGGACUCUGGGACACCUGUUUGACAUCAAGGCUAGGUAUAAACAAAGCUUUCAAUCAGUUGUUUAGUCCACCUCCACAGCAGGCGAAACUGCUAAGUCAGCUGCCCAGACCUGCCUUGUAGCCAUCAGAUUUCAUUAUGAGGUAAAAUGAUUAAUUUCCAGGGGAAAAUAAGGUGAAGGAAAACUAAUUAAUUUCUUGUCCUUAGGAUUUUCAUCUAGGCUGCCUUCAUACCAACUGUUACACAUACCUGUUGUUCAAAAUUAGUAGGAGCAACUGGCAAUACUAACCUCAGCCCCCAAACUCUGACUGAACUUCUCUAUUUCCCGCACUUCUUGAUCAACUGGCCUCCCAAUCCUGAGGCUUUUUAGAGCAUUAAAUCUAUGCGUACAUUCUCAGUGUUUUUGAGGCUCACUGAAGGAUAAAAUCCCAGUCAAAUACCAACAGGGCAAGUUUAGUUGAUUGUCUUUACAUGGCAAGAAGUGUAUAAAUUUUGAAAAUGAAACCUAAAUCUGUGCAAUACUAUCUUUGACAAUUAAUAUUAAUUAAUUAAUUAAUUAAUUAAUUAACAGAAUCUAGAGACUUCUGAGAGAUGGACCCCUAGGAAUGCCUGUAGACAGUUGUCUUGAUCACGUGAUUCCCUGCUGCUGGGGAAACCCAUCCACUUAUGAGUGCCAGCAUUCCCAGACUGUAUAAAUGGAGAGACAGAACUGAGCAGCAGCAUUCAUUCUCCAUUCUCCGUUUUCUGGCUUGGAUACGCUGUGAUGAGCUGCAUCACCACCUUGCUGCUUUGACUUCCCUGUCAUGAUGGGCUGUAGCUGUGGGCCAGAAGAACCUUUUCUCUGGCGUUCGUUAUAUGUUGUCUCUGUACAAAAUUAACAAACCUACAUGGAGAGUUCCGUCCUCUUAUUCUAGCACAGCUGUCUCACCAUGUAGCCCUGGCUGUCUUAGAAUGUGCUAUGUAGUCUAAGCAGGUUGCAGACUCACAGAGAUCUGCCUGCUUCUGCCUUCCAAGUGCUGGGAUUAAAUGCAUGUGCUAUUUACACCAGGUCCUCCUAUAUCUUCCAAGAUCUUACCCUUAUCAACAAUUUCCUCAUUUUGUCUUUAAUCUCUCUGUCCUAACUCCUUCUGCUCUACACUUCAAGGUACUUAAGUAUUUUCUUUCUUAUAGUUUACAGGCUAUAGCCCGUCAUUGCUCUCAUUCCCUUUAUAACCAACUCCUAAGAAUCUUAUUUCUUAAAACUUGUGUCAGAUGAUAUAUCACUAAUAAACACAAUUUCUUAGAAGACUGGAUUCCUAUCUUCAUGUUGAACACUUGACUGAAGAAACAACAGACAUACUCAUCUGGAUGACUGCUUUCCAAUCAAGCAGUCAAGAGAUUUCUGAGUCUUUCACCUUCAUAGGCAUGAACAAUGCAUCAAUACUGAGAAGUUUUGCUUUAGUUACCUUCAGCCAAGAAAGGAACAGGGCUAGUCAUAUUCCAAGGUUAAAUACUUUCUUUGAACACUGUGGAAAAGUACAAAAGUAGUAGGGGGCCUGAGUCAGACCUGGCACAUGGUAAGAGGAAUACUCUACAUGUAAGCACCCAGUAUUGUAUUGUAAGCUGAGAAAAUAGCAAUUCAUUGUUAAAUUAAAUUACUAUAUGUUUAAAAAUGAGAUUUAUUCAUUUUACUGUGCAUAUUUGUAUGUGCAUCACUGUGUGCUAGGUUCCCACAGAGGUUAGAAAAGGGCAUUGCAUCCUUUAAAACUGAAGUUAAAGAUGAAUGUUAAAGCCACCCAUGUGGGGGCUGGGAAUUGAACCCAGGACCUCUGCUAGAACAAAUGGUCUUAACUAUUGAGCUACCUCUCCAUUCCUAACCUUGAAACUUUUAACUUAACUUGCUUUAGUAUUUUUUAUGUUUGAUUAAAUGGUAUACAUUGUCUAUAUGACUGUGUAUGACUAUAGAUCAUUGACAAUGAUUUUAUGUCUAGAUUCAUUUAUAUAAUAUAAACAAUCAAGGUAGCUCAAGAAUGCUUUCCCUUUCUCAUUUACAAUAUAUUUUAUGAGCACAUAUAUUAUACACUUAUAUUCCAGAAUUUAUUUUAACUAUUAAUAUAUUUGAUUCUUUUAACAAAACUAUAAUAUAGUUAUCAUUGUUACCCUCGCUCUGCUGAAGAGGAAACUGAGGAAUAGAUAGAGAUUUGGUUGGUAUUGCUAGGAUGUAAAUCUAGGUACUUUUGGCUCUAAAAUCUGUCUCUGCUCAAAUGGAAUGCUGAUUCAUUAACCCAACAAUUGAAAAAUACAUUAGGAAAUACGAUGUUGAAGGGAUACAGACUAUCUGCCUUUAGCUUUUACUUCUUAUUUGAGUUUUUUUUUUUCUUUCAGGAUAAACAUUACAUCACUACAGACUCUGGUUAUUUACUAACCUCUGACCUUUAUUCUAUUUUUAUAAAGCAUAUACUCAACUGGACAUUUUCACACAUGUUGCAAAGACAUGGGUUCAACAGAAGUUGAAUUAGGUGGUAUUUGUCUGUCCUGAAUUUGUUUCCUAUUCCAAAAAUCUGUCUUUGGCUGUAUAUUAUCUUCUACUUAAUGGUCACUCUCCCUAUUUCAGAAGGUCUUUGAAUAGUAGCAGAAAGAGCAAAAACAAGGGACUGGGGAGAUGGCUCAGUGGUUAAAAGCACUGACGGUUCUGCCAGAGGUCCUGAGUUCAAUUCCCAUGUGGUUACAUGGUGACUCACAACCAUCAGUAAUGGGAUCUGAUGUCCUCUUCUGGUAUGUCUGAAGACACAUACAGUGCACUCAUAAAUAAAUAAAUCUUUGUGUGUAAAAGAGUCAGAGAGAGAGAGAGAGAGAGAGAGAGAGAGAGAGAGAGAGAGACAGAGAGAGACAGAGACAGAGACAGAGAGAGAGAGAUAGAGACAGAUACAGAGACACAGAGAUAGAGAAACAAGCCCACAAAGCUAUUAUGGUCAGAUGUCAGUCACAUAUAGAGUCCAAAAGGCCAAUAACUCCAGAAGGGAUUUGACUAUACCCAAUGCCCAAGGGAUAAGAACAUAUCAUUAAAAAAAUGUAAUGUUGAAACUGAUACAGAAUAACACCUGCCUACAUUUAGACAUUAAAUCUCCUUCCAUUUCCUAUACUAUGUGAGGGAAUGCUAUCUUUUAUGUACAUGGUUUAUGCUGGUGCAGCACUUCACCAUAACGUUCAUUCCCCAGCACUGCAGCAAUUCCUGAACUGAGGAUGGUUGUGAGGGUGGUUGGCCCUGGGGGUGGGGCAAGAGGUUACAAAGCUCAAGGUCAUCUUCAGCUAGAUAAGAGUUGAAGACCAACCUGGGCUACAAGAGAUCUUUUCUCUACUUCCAAAACAAAACAAAAACAACCCAAGUUCAGAAGUAGCCAUUCUUUUAGGUUCUAUUCCAAUCAAAAUAAGGAAGAUCAGGCUCAUUUCUCUAAAACAUUUUUUAUCACUCUUGACUUUCUACUAAAACAUUCUAUAUCUGUUUUGAUAAACUAUGUGAAUUUUGGUUGGCUCUCAGGCAGAUGGCUGUAUGAAGGGCAAUACUGACAUGGCCUCUGUUGUGUUGUUGUAUUGAUUAUCCAAGUAGAUAAACUCUCCCAGAUCCACGAAUCUCCAGGUCCAUUUAUCAACCCACCAUAUGCUGUCUUUCUUUGAGUUUAAGCAUUAACUGGGAGACACAAGCAUCUUGAAAGAAGGAUCUGAAAUUCUUGGAAAAAGUCUAAUGAGCUUUUAGGUUCAAAUCUGACUAUAUACAGGGAGGUAGCAUCAUUUUCCUAGAAAUGUGAAUAAAAGAACAUUCGCUGGGAGAAAUUAGCAGAGAUGUUCAAAUACUCUAUUACAGGUAUGCAUUAUAAAUAAUGAAUUUCAUUCUAAAGAGAGAAUGGCCAUGAAGUAUAACCCAAUGAGACUGAAAUAAUUUUCUUUGCUUCCUCCUAAGAACUUAUUGUUAUUAAGAACAGUAAAUGCCAUGCGUCUAGCCACCUGUGAUGCUGUGUAAACAUAAUUUGUAUGUUUUUACUGUCCCAGAGAGGAACUGGUGGGUACUAAAGAAAAAUCAUGGACAAAAUCAAAAGACAUUACCAGAAAAAGUACCCAAGAUUGUCUUUGUUCUGGUCCUUAAUUAAAAAAUGAAAAAAAUCUUAAAGUACAAAGAAGCAGUCACUCUUGUCUAAUGCAGCUUACUGGUACUUGGACAUAUGAGUAAAAGCCAUUUAAAAAAAAAAAAGAAUGUGCCAGAGGGUGGUAGCUCACGCCUUUAAUCCCAGCACUAGGGAGACAGACACAGGCAGAUCUCUGAGUUCUGAGUUCAUGGCCAGCCUGGUCGACAUAGUGAGUUCCAGAACAGCCAAGAUUACACAGAGAAACUCUAUCUCAGAAAAAAAAAACACUAAAAAACUAAAAAAACUUCUCUUCCUAUGAGAAGACCAAUAUUUCUGUGGUUGGAUUUGACAAAUAUAUACCAGAUUAUUAUCAAAUACGUGAAGACUUUCUUUAACACUAGUAGUACUGUGUUAUCUAGUACCAUCAGGAACAGAGUCUUCUAGUUAAUCCGAUCUUAAGGUGAAUAAGAAUAAUCACAGGCAGAAUAGUAGGACUUUAUGGUUAGACUCUCAAAAUAGCUUUUUGACAGACUCCAUUACUUAAACGAUGUUUUUUAUUGUGUGUAUAUGUAUGUGAGCAGGUUUACAUGAGCCAUGAUUAUGUAUGAAGGUCAGAGGGUGAUUCUUGGGAGUCAAUUCUUUCUUGCCACACUGUGGGAUCCAGGAAUCAAACUCAUCUUACCAGGCCUGCACACAUAUACCUCUAUCCACCAUCUUAAUAGAGCAGCCUCUUUACUGUUACCCUCAGCCUUCAGGUGCCAUAGGAACAACUUAAGUAAGUGUUCAUUUGCAUAACCAUCUAUUUCCAUCUGCUCUACCUAUAGAGCUUUCAAAUGGUCUCUCACAUGAAUAAAUGGGUCCAUAAAUGAUCUCCUCAGCCUUCUCAGGAGAAAACUAAGAGUUGAAUAAAAGUCAAUCUUCUGACACUGAACUUAAAAAAAAGAAUAAAUAAAAAGGACAUACUAAACAUGAUUUACUUUUUUUCAAUAAUGAGUUGAAAGGCACCUUUGGUUUUAUUGUGCCUUGAAGCUAUUUGACUUCUAGAUAAUGGCCUAGAUAUGAAGUAGACAGGUUCUGUUUGUGUAUGCAUUUAGCAAACUUAUAUUGGCCAUCUCUAAGCAUUAUAUAAUUUACUAGGCAGUGGGGAUUUAGGAGUGAGAAAGGGGGACAGAUAUUCUACUUUUGUUAAGAAUUUGUGUUAAUGAGAAAAGCAGAUAAAUAUGUUAGUCAAAUGAAAUAUGUUUCAUAGUAACACAAGAUAAGAAUAUAAGAUAGGGAAGUGGGAUAAAAAUUUAUGCAUACUGUGGGAGCAGAAAGACACUGAGAUGUUACUGGCUUUUCUUUUUCUUUUCUUUUUCUUAUUGACAGGCUCAUGUAGUCCAGGGCGGCCUCAAACUUGCCAUGUAGUUGAGGAUGACCUUCAACUUCUGGUGCUUCUGGUGCUACUCUACCUCUGUAGUGCUGAGAUUAGAGUCAUAAAAUAAGACACCUCCAGGUGGUGCUGGAGAGUGAACCCAAGGCUCUGUGCAUGCCUGACAAGCACUCUGCCAACUAAAUGAGCCAUACAUCCAACCCAGAAGGUAAUUUUUAGACAUAGGUUUCAAGAGAGGUAGACUCUUUGGGAAAAGUCAUUUCUGGCUAGGGACUUGUAAGAACAAAAGCUUUAAAUGCGUCCACUGUUCUAAGGAAUGCAGAGCGGUUUGGAGGAGUAGAACACAGCAGACAGAGGAAAUGCAGCCAGAAAGCGAGGCAGACAGAAAUGGAGGGCCAAUUUUACAAGACCUGAGAGGCCAAGAGUGAGGACUUUGGUUUUAACUUUGAGUGGGGCAACAGUAGUUCCUUUAAAAAGAGAAUAGAAUUGUAACUUCUAUUUGUGCAGAAAACAGGUUGAAGGAAGAAAAGUCAUAAUAGAGAAAGCCAUUAUGGGUUGAUUGUAAUGUCAUAAGGACCAGCAUGGGAGGCAAGGAUGCUAAGACAUUGUGAAACUCAGAAUACAGAUUUAAGAAGAAGGGGAUGGCACAUGACUAUAGAUCUUGGUUACAGUAUGAGAACCAGAAAGAGAGAAGGCAAGAGUGACCAUACAUUUUUUCAGAUAACGUUACUGAAAAAUAACAUUGUAGUUAAAGGGGAAAGAUCAUUACACUGAUGGCCAUGUGGAGUAGAAGCUUGUGAGUGCAGAUGUAGAGAAGUUAAUUACGCUUAUGAUGCCUGACAUACAUUCAGCUGAGAAAAGGACCAUGAACAUGAAGCUCAUGUGGGAGGUUCAAUGUUUGGACUCCAGAAAGCAAACCAAAAAGUCAUUCACACAGAGAUAGGACUUGACCUUAUGAGUCUAAGACAAAGGGACAAGCCUAGGUGCUCCAAACUGAAAGGUUUAGUACUGACAGUAAACCUACAUUUUUUUUUUUGGCCUCUUUUCAGAAGGACAAAUAUAAGUAUGGCCACCUGCGGCAGGUGAAACAGGUCUUUCUAGAAACAGUCCGGGCUGUUGACUGCUACUCCCAAGGAACUAAAUGUGAGAAUUGGGGUGUGGAGGUGAAGCUCAUUUGUGACCUCUAGAAUAUACAGUUUUCAGUAAGAAAGGGAAAAUGCCAACUUUCUUACAGGAAAAUGGAAUACCCUUUUAUGUGAGUUUGGAAUGCAUUUCUAGCUUUUAAAUAUCAGGCUGGCUUAAAUGCCAGAUCUAUUUGUUUGUAAGAAAAUUUAAGUGAUGUUGCCUGUCAUUUUACAUUUAAAGGAUAAGUUCAUGGUACAAGCAUUCAUCUCCUUUCACUUUAUUUCAAAGAAGGCCAUGUAAAUAAAGGAGCUUUUAAAAUAUGGGUAUUGUUAGAAUAAACAAAUUCGAUAAAUUUACUGCUAAUAAAACAUAAUUGAUAUUUUGUUACAUAUCUACACAAAUGAUAAAUUGAAUGGGUGACUAUGAAACUAUAGAGUUGGUAUGUUCAUUGGGGCUGAAAGGGUUCUAGUGGAUGAGAUGCAGGAGCAAAUAGAAUUUACAGGAGUCAAAUAUGAUGACCACUGUCGUGUCAAUGAAAUACUCUCAUGUCUAAACAUGAAUAAGCGGCACACGUGACAUUUUAAUUGCAGAUUUUAACUGUAAGAAUCUACAUAGUACAUUUGAAUUUGAAAAUUAGGGGUAAAGAAAAAAUACUUUGCGAUUUUUUUUCUCCAGACCCAAAAAACAUUGUUUUUAUUUUUCACAGUCUUAAAAACUCAGUAAUCCAUCCUGGAUAAACUGAUAGAUCAACAUUAUGAUUCAGAGUAUUAUUUUUGAAAACUAAUUACAUUUGUUAUUUUAUGUGCAUUAGCAUUUUGCCUGCCUAUCUCUGUUUGUGCGAAGUGUCAGAUCUUGGGGUUACCAACAGUUUUGAGUUGUCAUGUGGGUGCUGAGAUUUGAACCUGGGUCUCCUGGAAGAACAUUUAGUGCUCUUAACCACUGAUCUAUCCGUCCAGUCCCCAGAAUAUUAAUUUAUAGGCCAGAAGGUCUGAGUUACUAUAACCGAUAUGUAAGUAAACAUGACAAGGCUAACUACCCAAACUCCAGGGUUGGUUACCAGACCUGUUUCAUCAGGUUUGUGUCUUGGCAGAAGAAGGGCAGGCAGUGAGGCAUAAGAAAUGACUAUGAGGUCACCAUGCAGUAAAGCUUGAGGAAAGAGCAGAGCUAUCUUGAAAUAUAGAUUUCAGUGGUCAGUAGACUCUCUACAGUUAAAGCUUUAUUUGACAUCUUCCCUUCUGUUAAAAACUGCUGUGAGCCACUCCCCUUCAGUGUAAAAUGCCAGGGUCGUGCUGUGUAUAUGUACAUGUGCAGGUAUACACAUGUGUGCUAAGCAAGUACUCAACUGCUGAGCUUGAGCCCUCUUGGUUCUUAUAAAAAUUUUUUGAAUUCACUUAUUUUAUGUGUAUACACUGUUUGCCUACACGAUUGUUUCUUUACCACAUGCAUGCCUGGUAUUUGAGUGGGUCCGAAGAGGGCCUUGGAAUUGGAGUUACAGAGGGUUGUGAACAGCUCUAUGAAUGCUGGGAAAUGAACCUAGGUUCUCUGCAAGAGCAACAACUGAGCUAUCUCCAGCACCAUACCCCCCCACCCCUUCUCUCUCUCUCCUUUUGUUUUUUUACUUUUAGACAAUGGCUCACUCUGUAGCCCAGGUUGUCCUCAAACUGCAAUUUUCCUUCCUCCAUUUUUCACACUUGGGACUAAAGUCAUGAGUCACUGUAUCCUUCAGUUAAAAAAAAAUGAAUCAUUGUUUAUUUCUUGCUUAAUUCUUAAUUCUCAGCUAAUUAUUUGGUUAACUUUACAAACUCUAGAGCUAAAUGAAUAGUUACAGCUAUUACAGUGAAACACUUUGUGCUAACAAUUUUAAUGUCACUAUGCCAAGAGCGAAAUCUUAAGUGUAUGAACCAUGCCAGAACUAGCCUUAUGGGGCCUGUCGCUGCCUGUGUGAGAAACAUGUUACACAAGUAUGAAAUUAUGUCAUGCUCUUUGUAUUAAUGAUGUCACAUAGCCAUUCCCCUAAUAUAAUUGUAUUAUUUUGUAAACACUGCCAGUCAUAUUGAUGUGCUUUGAAAGACAGAGGUAUAAUAUGAACUAACCUUCAUAGUUUCUAUGUUAGAAACAAACGAAACAAUAAUAAAACAUGUAGAGAAGUGGGCAUGGUGGAAAAGACAUGUAAUCCUAGAAUUGGGGAAAAGGAAGCAGAGUUAUGAGGAUGAAGCCAACGUGGGCUGCUCAGUAAGACCUUGAACGAAUGAACAAUGGAACAAAUGAAACAAAAUGUGGGGAGGGGCCAGUGUUUUCAAGUCUCUGAAGUCCACCUUCCUGUUUGAAUCCCAGAUUUCUCUCAUAAAGGUUCAUAACUGAGAAGGAUAUUUUGUAUUUGCUAUGUCUCAGUUUCUUAGCUUAUAGAUAACAAUAACCUCACUGCUUCUUUCAAAUAUUAAAUCAGACCAAAGAUGCAAAAUAUUAGAACAAUGUCUGACAUAGUAGAAAGCACUUAGUACCUGUAAUCCAGAAAUGGUUUUAAGUAAAUAUAUGAACAGAAAGAGCUUAGUGGUUUAGAGUACUUGUUUCUUUCACUAAGAACCCAGCUUCACUUCCCAGAACCCACAUGAUGGCUCACGACAUCUGUAACUCCAGUUCCAGGGGAUCUGAUGCCGCCUUCUUCACUCCGAGGGCAGCAGGCACUCACAUGGUGCACAUACAUGCAUGUAAAGUAAAACAUUCAUAUGCAUAGAAUUUAAAGAUUUAAAAAGAAUCAUACAGGAACACUCUCAUCUUUAUUGUCACAAUCUGUAGUAUAUUCUGAAUUAAAUUAUGCAUAUAAAGUGCCUUUGUGGAGAAUGUACUCUUGAGAUCAUAGCCUCCCACGGUCUUAUUCAUGAAAUCCAUAUUCUACAAGUAUUUUCCUACAAAAUACUCAAAUACUUAUCUUGUUUACAUAUUUUACUGUUGAAGUACUAAGAUAAUCCACAUUUUCCUCCUGAGAAAACUGGAUGGAGACGUUAAACAUCUUUCAGAGAGUGGCAGAGUAACUGAGAGAGCUGGAAAUAAAUCCAGGUCAGUUGGCUUCUGCAGCUGGGUAUUUUGUACUUCCUGUUACUGCCUCAGGUUUUACUGAAUGAAUGCCAGGAAACUUAGAGCAUUUGAAGAUUUGGUUGGACUCCAGAGUACAGUGUUAGGGAGAACCACUUUACAGUCAAUGUGACCUUAAACGUGAUGCACACACGAAUGAGGAUACUCAGAGGCAGAACAAGAAAGCCACUAGGAAUAUCAUGGUAGGGAUAACACUGUGUUUGGAAGAUGGGCUUUUAAAAAUAGAGGCUGAAGAGAAGGAGCCUUUCAAAGGUGAACAGACUUUAAACAUGCAUGCCUCAUAGCCAGGGAUUGGACUGCCUCCUUUGGCCUUAAAGUUAAGGACUAUCUCUUGUAGGUUGAUGUCGUUAGGCAGGUGAAGGCAGACACAAGAUAAAGCGAGGCAUGUCAUUGGAUGAGAAGGAAGGGAGGCAGGAACAGAAGUUUUAGAAGGAGAGUGAGAAGCAGAAGAGGAGACAACAUGGAUGCAGAUGUAAACAAUCCUCACCAUCAUCUCUAAACAGAUACAGGAUGAUACGAAUAUUUCUUGAGGGAUGGAUUUCUAUAGGUCAAUUUAUCUUAUCUAGGUAGGCGGUUUAUAUCUUUAUCAAUUGGUUGUGAGUUUAUUGUGUGGAUGUAUUGUGGACUGAGAAUUUAACAUAUAAAUCUGAUUGUUGGCUUGCAGUUUGUUGAGUCUUGAGUUUACCAGGUAGCUAGGACCAGAGAAUUCAUGGCUAGUAGAAAGCCGCUGGAAGAGAUACUAACCAGAGAUAGAUUGUGGUCAGUUCCAUAUAGCCCUACAGGUGCUGGAACUAACUCUAAAGACCAGUGUGGAACAGCUCGUGGACUGCUUGGGUCUGAGAGUACUUGGGUGCGUCAUGGGGCAGCUGAGAUAAAAGUAUCCCACAGUGCCACGUAGCCCCAUGGGUGUUAGUGCUAGUGCAGUAUAAAAGGUUUAGCCAUUUUUUUUUUACCACAACAAUCUCUUUCUUUAUGAUGAGUUGUAGGACUUGAGGGUUUCUGUAAGCAUUUGCCUUCUCCCGUUCUUCCUUCUUCCCCAGGCUGUGAUCUCCAUAUUACUUUUAAAGAGCCCCUCCCUUCCUUCCUUCCGUCUCAAUAUCUUGUAUUUGCCUUGCCCCCUGCAACCAGAUGGUUGCAAGAAUACCAGCAAGAAAGCUGGUAUUCAACUAUCUGUCUUGCACUGGUCAUCUUGUCCACUUGUCUCUGUGAGCUGGAAUCAACACAGAGGAGGAAGAUAACAUCUCUGCCCACCAGACAUGAGUUGUGUAGUUUAAGUUAGUCACUGGUUAUAUGGUGAAAGUCAUCCAGAAAGUCUAUGUUCAGAUAAAAAUUUACUGGCUGAAAAGUGUCUUCUCUUUCAGGGAAGAAAACUUUGAAUCUCUUAAUUAAAAAGUCUCCCCUCUCUCUGCCCGUCAACUCUGCCUACCACUUUUGGGUUGGUUAGUAUUCUAAAGUUGGUACUUCUUUUAGUUAUGCCCCAACCCUACAACUUCCUCAGUCCGGGUAUAGUCCAGUCUCCAUAGUCUGUUGUUAUGUGUAAUUUUCUUCUGGCCCUGUACUCUUUUCCUUGGUAUAUAUCUUUCACCUGGUAGAAAUCUGAACUCUUCUUUCCUCUCCCUUCCUGUCCACUAGUAGGCCAAAUCACAUGAGUCCUGAGUCUCUCAGGCACAUUACCACUCCACACCCUGAAGAUCUGUCCUCAGGUCAGCCAUCUUGGAUCAUAGUUAAAUUCCACUGGUUUCCCUAGCAUUUCAUCAUGAAGUCAUUCAUGGAUCAUGUAUGAAACUCAGCUCUGCCACUGAAGGGAGGGGUGAUGUAAGACUGAUGACUUAAUUGUUAAUCCACAGAAUGAGGGGAUUACAAAUUUUGACCUCAUCUGCUCUCCUUGAAGAGUAAAUAAAAUAAGUGUGUUUUGCUUAACCCAGUGAUUGGCAUACAUCUUAAGCCCAUAACAAAGGGAUUAAUACAAGUAAUUUAAAAAUUAAAUAUUACAAUUUUAAUCCUACUUCCCAUGUUGUCAUUUAGAUUUUGAUUAUCUUUCUCUCUUUUAUUCAGAAUUCCUCUAUUUUCCUAUUACAUUCAUAAUAUCUUAGGAUGUUUGUCAUUUAUAAUACAAUAUUUUAACAAUCAAAUUAAAUAGUGAGCUUCUAUGAUGACUUUUUAUGCAUGUAUAUUACUGCCCUUUGCUAUAGCCAUUCUCCCCAUAACUUUCUUAUGCAAUAAAUUUUUUAAUCAAUGUGACUAUUGAACUUUUUUGGUAGAGAAGAAACUAUAAAAUACAUGCUUUCAAAGAGUCUAAAGAAAGAAAUUUUUAAAAAAGAUUUACUUAUUUUUUGGCAUGACUAUUUGCUUGCAUGUAGACAUACCCCACACUUGAAGUAAGGAGGCCAGGAAAGGGCAUUAGAUUUCUCAUAAUUGGAGUUACAGAUGGCAGUGAGCUGCCAUGUUUGUGCUAGGAAUUGAAUCCAAGUCAUCUGGAAAGGUGCUUUCAAGCACUGAGACAUUUCUCCAGGCCCAAGAAAGCAUGCCUUAAAGGACACAUUCAUUGCUUUGCACUGAUUGAUUGAAGUUCUGAUUGAUUCAUCUAUCCAAUUGAUAGCUGGGCAUGUAAUACAUUCCAGAUACAGGAGCACCAGAAAGAUUCUGACCCAAAGGGGAAAAUGUCAUACAUCAUCAUGACACAAAAUAAAAGUCUGAAGCAACUGUAUAGAAAAAGCACAAGCAAGUUCAGAGGAGAAAACGUUAGCAACCUGAAGCUUGGCAGAGGAAGAAGCCUUGAGGUGUCCUAGAAACUGACUGAAAACUAAGAGGGGAGAAUGGGUGAGGCUAUCUUCACAAUGAAGGAGCAUGUGUUAGCACAGGAUUGCAAAUGGAGCGGGCAAGUGCCCACAGUGAAAAGCAGUCCACAUGGGGGCCUCUAAAAGCACUUUCCAAAGCUUGCUUGACAACCAUGGGCUUUCUUUUAAUUAACACCAUUGUGGACUUGUGGGAGAGGUUAGCAAAUGUGUUUGCUGUCCCGCUGUUUCUAAUGAUUUUUGGUUAUGGGAUUUCAAUUUAGUGUGAGUUCUCGCCGUUCGAUAUAUUCACUCACGCUGCUGUCUGUCAGCCUACCUGCUUCUAUGAGACCUCACUUUAGUCUCUAGAGAAGUUCCUGUUGGGACAAAAUCAUGGAAUGGUGGAUGGACCCUUUUGGGUUUUGUCUUCAGAGUGGUUUUUAAACUGAUCACUUUCUCUGCAGGAAACAUACUGUGAUGGUACAUAAUGUAGACCAACCAUUGUUUCGCCUUUUUCCAAAAAAGACUAUGGACUCCAGGAAGCAUGCUCAGAACCCAGAUUUGUAAUUACCAGCUCAGUCCAGCUUUGUCCAAGAUAGGGAAACAAAGAGGAAAUUAGAAAGGAAGUCUCGAAGCUUCUUAAGAUGUUUUAAUAAAUUAUCACAGCAUGGAUAAUGUCCAGUGUGAUUCCUGAUGUUUGGAGGGCAGAGACCAUAUCCUACCUUUCCCUCUGUGGGGUGGCACUUAUUUACACAAAAUCUGAUGCACUGACAGAGGAAUUUCUAAUAGCUCAGUGGGUACCAUCAUUCGUAUGUAUCAUGAGCCACCUUCUUGUGAGUUACUGAAGGUUAGUUAGCUAAAACCUCUGCAUGAAGCAGGCAAUUGUUUUCACAAGGCACAGUGAUUGAAAACAAGGCCAAAACCAAAACACUGUGGCAAGUUUGAGAGUUGUGGUACCAUUAAGAAAAGUCAAUAAAAUAAGGCCUCAAAGAGAUUGAAUGAGUUGGGUCACACCUUUGUAUAGGAGAAAAACUGAGAUUCAAACGCCAAAUAAUAUGUUUCUUAGUUUUCUAGUGGCUUACUUUUCAAGUUCAUUCUUGUUACAUAGUCAGUCUCUAUUCUUACCGUUUCCAUCCAUUGACCAUCAAAACAAACAGAAAAGCAAAUGUCUUCAUGUAGAAGUCUCUCUAUCCCAGUCCUUCCUCCCCAUCUCUGUUUCCACCUCCAUUUCCUAGCACAGUCUUUUGCCUGGACAAUACUUCCCCUUCUGUGUAGGGUCUGUCUAUUCCCUUCCACCCCAGCCUCUCCACUCAUUUACACAACACACAUGAAGGAUCUUUUUAAAGCACUCUCGCUGUCUGAUAUCUUUUAAUGCCUCUUUGUUCUUGGGAUAAAGGGACUUUAAAGGUUUAAGUGGCUUUUCCCUUUCAGAUUAUACCAAAUAAUAUUUGCUUGUUGACUUUUUAAGUCGCCAUCCCUCUCAACCUUGCUCUGCAUCCAAGAAAUCUAUACCCAAGGGUCAUGCUUGUCUUCUGCCGGGUUUGGCAAGCAGAGAACAUUAGUUGGAGGCCCAAAGAAGGGAUGGGGCAAGAGUGGAAGUUUGUCCACUGGUUCCUUUGGCAGGAUCUUGGCUUGGCAGGUGAACAUUUUUGAGUCAAGAAAUUGUUUCUUCCUCUUUUUGGCUUUUCCUGUGUCAGAAGGCUAUCUGUUCCCUGUGGUUAACAGUUCUGAGUAUCUCUUAGGUUUUAUUAUAAUGGGCCCUUUUUGUAAGUAACCCUUUGUUUAAAAUUUUCUUAAAGAUUCACUUUAAAUUUAUGAGGUACUCCUUGUUAAGAUUUUGGUGUUGCCUUGUGUGGUAGAUGUAAACUUGGUCAAUGCUCAACUUACUCUUAACUGUAAUUACUCUAAAAGUGGUUACCUCUGAAACACAUGGUCUUACCCAUGCAUCUGUAGAACUUGGUGUAUGCUGCUCCGUCUGCUUGAACUUCCACCCCCUUUCAGAGGUUCCACUGAUGCUGACUGGACCAUUUAGGUCUUGACUUUAAUUACUAACUUACCUGACCUCUUCCAACAAUACAAACGAUGAUGCUACAUGUCACCUGCUCUAUCAACCCUGGAAGCUCAUUGACUAUGUGUCUCAAAAUGGACAUUGCCUUUGAGGCCUGGAGCUGGCCCACUUACCCUGACAAAUACACUGUCUAGUACAGAGUCUAGAAGCAACAUCACUUAGGUUUGAAGACUUUUUUAUUUGAAUAUUAUUAUCGUUCUUUUCCAAUUUUUACUUUGCAGAAAGCUUUCUCUGGUGUUUUCCUUGCCCCCAACUAUGAAGUUAUCACUAUUGUUGGAGGGACACUGAGUAAGUAGCACAGAACAAUGGAGAGCACACUCCUGUGCACACUGCUAUACACAUUCCUGUACACACUGCUGUACACAGUCCUAUACACAGUUCUGUACACUGCUGAACACAUUCCUGUACACACUGUUGUGCAUACUCCUGUACACACUGCUGUACACAAUCCUGUACUUACUGCUGUACACACUGUUGUACACAUACCUGUAAACACUCCUAUACUCACUGCUGUACAUACUCCUGUACACACUGCUCCACACACUCCUGUACACUGCUGAACACACUCCUGUACACAUUCCUGUAAUACUGCUACAUAUAUUUGUGUACACACUCCUGUACACACAGCUGUUCACUGCUGAGCACACUGCUGUACACAACUGCUGUACUUAUUAAGGUGCAGAUAGUUCCUUGCCUAACUCUCAGACCAUUUAAGGGCUUAAGAAAAAGAAAGAAAAAUGAAAUACAAGAAGAAAUGCUCUUUAAAGAAAAGAUAGGAAUUAAAACAUUAGUAAUUUUUGCUGAGUCACACAUUCGAGAUGGGACUUCAACCUAUAGUUCAGGUAAGCUUGAGUUUACUAUGUAGUCCAGGAUGGUCUACACUGCUCUUCCUGCUUUAGCCUAUGGAGUGCUAAAUGCUAUAAGUGUGUAGCACCAUAUCUGUCCCCUUGAUCUUAUAUAUAAAAUUUCUCUGCUGCGUCAGACGUACAAUCCUUCAUUUCUGCUAAUUUUCAAAAAUCUACUUGCGACUGCCAAAUCAAAAACUCACCUUAACAUCCCACCAUUCUCUUUUCUCCCUUUCCCUGCUUUUCUUUCUUCCCUUCAUUCCAUAUCUCUCCCUUCAUCUCUCCCUCCCUUGUCCCUCCCUCCCUCUCCCCUCUCUUUCUUUUCUUUCCCUCCCCUCCCCUCCCCUCUCUCCUUUCAUUCUUACUUGUUUCAAUUUUAGAGACAGAGUCUCACAGUGUAGCACUCAAAUGCCGGGUGCCAGGAUUACAGGUUACCAUCUGUGCAGAUGUUCUUAAUACCCACCUGGCUCCUGCUAACAGCUUCCUGAUGCUGGGACCACUGGGAAGACCAUGCUGCAGCUGGAUUAUCCUGCUGAAAUUUCAAUACCCUGAUGCAAUUGCCACCAUGAGCUACCAAUUGCCUCAUAUUUGGCAAUAAAGAUUUUGUUGACUAGGUGCACAGACUCUAUGCUGCCCAUCAGUUUGGGAAUUACUCUGCUAUUUGUGAUGGUGACAACACACACAGAAGCAUAAAGAUAAGGAUUACAUAUAAAAAUGUCAUGUCAUAACUUCUGAGAAACUUUAAAGAUACUGGUAAGGGUCUGUGAUACAGUUUUGAUUAGAAAAGUUAGCAGGCUUGAUUGUCUGUUUGUUGUGUUUGUUCGUUGUUUGCUUGUUUGUUUUGAUUUUGGUUUCCUGUUUUUACCCGCCAGUUUGACUUUUGAAACUGCUAUCCCCCUGCUCACUCCUAAUGGCAGAGGCCCCUAAAUUGGGCUGUCGCACCACUACCAUGGAACAUUAAUUUUCACCUGGGUGUAUCAUAGAGCCACAUUUUAGUAAGGUAUUCUGUGAGCUAACACUUGGGAUUGGGAUUUUGAUAAAUUAGUUUGAAUUGAGGGUAUUUCUACAAUAGCUUCAUUCUCACACAUACUUUAAUUCUAAGUUGCUUUCUUGUUUGUAAAUAAGAAGGAUGCCAUCCCUGUGAGUGCAUACAAAGAUGUCUACCACACUUAUAUCACAUGUGACCCUUUGCUACGUGAAUUCUCAUGAUCUCAUCUCCAUGAAGUGUAUGUUUCAGACAGGUAUGGUGACAACCCACUUUUAAUUCCAGCACUCUGGAGAUAAAAAAAACAAAAAACAAAAAAUGGAUAUUUCAUUCGUAUUAUUGCAUUUCGCAGUUAAGGAUGCAUUUUACAGCUGACCAGUGGAAUAGUAAGUAACAGUGCAGAUGAGCUUAUGGUGGAUGAACUUAGGUUCAGAAUUGAUUAUGCCAGGACCAUUUCCCAUUCCUUAAAAAAUUCCCUUUAUUUAGACUCAUUGAUUUGUACAACGUUGCUCUUGGUGUCAUUCCUCUCAUAACUUUUCAGGCUGAUAACUCAGUUUUUAAAAUACUGUGCAUAUGUAUGUGACAGAUUCCAUGUUCUUAUGAAGCAAUUCCGUUUUGUAGGCAUUGUACCUAGUCAUGUUUCAUAUUGUUAGGUAAAUCAACACUGGUCAAGAGAUGGAGAAAACAAAACAAAACACAUCUCUAAUCAUGGCGGAUUCUGACUAUGGUAGAAUGAAACGGAAGCCCCUUCUCAGUAAAUGGAACCAUGUCUCAUAGCAGUCUAUUGAAUAAAAUAAUUGUAUUAUGCUAUAGCCAGAAAUAACCAAACAUUGGCUACCAGCUCUCAUAAGACGAGUAUAAAGCUGGGGGGUGGGGAGAAAUUACAGGGUGGGUAGGUGAUAAUUGUGGGCCAGUGAAGGGGACAAUUUUCAGCCCUGUCUUUCACAGUUCCUGAAAUUAAAAUUUGUUUAUGUGCUGUAUGGAUGUUCAAUCCAUGACUGUGGCAGGAAUGGAUAUAUCUGAAAAAGCAUCAUAUAUAAGCAAUAUGAAUGAUUGAUGCUGAAGAGGAAUGGUGAUUCCCCCAACCCCUGGUCAUUGUUCCCAGGAUCUGUGCACAGCAGAGUGGAAGUCUAAUCUCAAUGGUCUGGCCUUGGUAGUGAAGUUGGAUUGGAGGUUCCAUCUGUGUCAAUGUUUAGAGCUUCUUAUCUUCAAGGUCCUAUUCUAAGAGCUUAAUACAUAUCAACUCAUUUAAUCUUCACAUCAUUUUAUAAGGUUAUCUCAAUUUUUCUAGUCAGGAGACUGCUACCUAGAGAGGGUAAGUACAUUGCUGAAAAUUUCACAGUUGAUAAGUGACAGGUCUAGGAUUCCAUGCCAGGGAGUCUGGCUCCAUAGCAUGCUGUGGUCACUUAUCCACAAUGCCUCUAUUCAUUCAACAGUUGUUCUUUAUUUUAGCCAUUGCUUAGACAGUUCCUUUGAGGUCACGAUGUAUUUGGUCUGUCUCUGAUUUGAGCGGUGAGAAAUUCAGAUCCAGGCUGCAGAAACUUAGGCUGGUAGGUGUUGGCAGGUGGAGAAGACAUACAUCCAAGAUGUAAGUCACUUGGAUAAAGUGCAGGCUUCUGGAAGAAGUCUUAACACUUUGCUCAAAAUGUGUUUUCCAUUACAGCAUUAAAAUGGCAUCUUCCCUCCCCCUGCAACUCUGAGAACACAGACAACUGAUAUGAGGAAAAGGGGCUGAUCUAUUUCCUUCCUUCCUUCCUUCCUUUCUUCCUUCUGUCCUUCCUUCCUUCCUUCCUUCCUUCCUUCCUUCCUUCCUUCCUGUUUGUUUUUGGUUCUGGCACUGAAAAAAGAGUAGCCAAAGUAAUGUCCUUAGGAAACCUUCCAUAGCUGCAUGUCAACCUACUUUCAUACUCUUAGAAUGAAAAGCUAACAUCUCUAUAAGAUACAGCAUCAAAAGAAAAUUCUUUAUAUCUUUUAAAUCACUGUUCAAUGGGGAAGUUAAUGAAAAAUUAUAGACACAGAUUUGUAUCAUAAAUGAUCCUUUUGUUAUAGUUUUUGUCUUUUAGAGGAGAAAGAUUCACCUUUUAAAACUCUCUCUCUCCCUCUCUCUCUGCACUAGAAUACAUUCUCAACCUAAAUUAAAGCUCUUAUAUUGUUGUUUAAUAUCUAGGCAGGAAAGUACCUUUUGCUUAGGACUUCCCUUUGAAUAUAGGUUAACAAAGUUCCCCCCAAAAAGUGUCCAUUUGUGUAUCAAAGGUCGUACUUGGACAUUUCUCCUUUAGCCUUUAGCUGUAGUAGAGUUUGAAGGAAAUGUCCUAAAUGCAGAUUAGAGUUCGGCUUGUGGAAUAAUCCAUGAGGCAAGCGUGGAGGACUAAUGAUCCUUUUUCAGCUUUCACAAAUGGGAGAACAAAGGUCUGUUCUUAGUGCCCAGCAAAAGGGUACCAUAAGGGAAACGAUAACGGUUUAAAUGGCCUUCUCCAAAUGCUUGGAGAGAAAUCAUUUCCUUACCUCACUAACAGAAGGCAAAGACAUUGAAAUCAUCGCUUAAAUAUGGAUAGUAAAGAGAUGGGGUGUGCUUUUCUAGGGUGUAGUUUUGGGUAAUGAAUGAAAAACAGGUUCCUAUAGACCCUUCAGUGCCUGGCACUACAAUGUCCACAUUGUGUCCUGGACUUGGUGCGUUUUACUCAGAUACUCAGAUGCCGACAAUCAUUAUUAACAUGUUUUCUCCUCCUCAACAGCACGGCUAUUAAGAUUAGGCUUGGGAGCCUUCACUUGCUUAUUUUCAUAAUGAGUUAUGAAUUAAGCUUAUCUGCCUUUGGUAUUUCUUUUUGGCUCCACAAUAAUGUUGAAUUAAAUGUGUUCUUUCUUCUUAUCUAUUUGGAAAAUGAGACUGUGUCUGUCUUUAAUUCCAUUGUGGAAAGUUGAGGAAAAACAUAUGUGCCUUGUAACUGCCAAGAAGAAUAUCUUUAGUAAACAAACCUUGCAUUAAUCUUUGUGAGUGCCCUGAGGUCACUAUUAGCAAUCUUUUUGACAUGCUACAGUCUCUUAGGUUCAGAUAUACAUAUAUAUAUAUAUAUAUAUAUAUAUAUACACAUGUAUAUAUAUAUAGUAUGUGUGUGUGUAGGAAAAAUAUAUUUAUAUAUUUAAAUGCAUAUAUUUAAAAAUCUGAUUCUUUUACCAUCUUUACAAGUUCUCAACAUUGUUAUAUUCUAAUAGUUACUGCAAUUAUAACUCAAUAUACCAUAAGUUAUAUUGUAAAUAAAUGUGUGCCUGCUACACUUCUAGUUGCAUAGGCUAUACACAAGCCAGUAGCAUAGCAAAAUCUGUCCCUGCUGUGGAAUUUAAUUUUCACUUGGGAUAAGAGAGUCUAUAGGCAGAUAAACAGCAACAACAAAAAUAUUUAAAAAGGCAACUCUAGGUGGCAAACACCGUGAAUACACUCAUAAGGGCCAUGAAGAAAUUAAAACAGACCCCCAUUGUGCCAAGAGAAAUGGUGACUCAGCAGCAGAAACUCUGGCCUUCAAGUUUGCCUUCUGUAUAAUCUUGGGGAACAUUAUUUCCCUAUAUUGGAUCUUAGUUUUAUCCUCUCUAAAGCAGGGAGCAGAGGCUAGAGAUAUAACUCAGUAAGAGAGUGCCUCUCUAGCAUACACAGUACCCUGGACAUCGAAUAAAUGGGCAUGGAACUCACUCUAAAUUCCAGCACUCAGGAGGCAGAGGCAAGCGGAUCAGAAGCUCAAGGGCAACCUUGGCUACUGAGAAUCAUUUUUUUACCAAAGAAAGGGGAGGGUCAUAACUCUCAUUUCAUAGUUUAUAUUUAGGGCUUACAAGAAUGAGAAUGUUAGAAUGUUUAGAAUAAUGUAUGUCAUAUAUAUUAUAUAUAUGUAUAUAUAUGAUACCUUAAUAUUUUAGUGUGAUGUUGACCUCUUUUUGGAGAUGAGAAAUCUGAAGGUUACAGAAAGAAGCCAAAUGACUUUGAGUAGGUUGUGCAUCUGAAGGGAUGUAGAAACAUUGUCUUACAAUCUGACCCUGUUUUCAAAUAUUCUUUUGUCUCUUCUUACAAGUCCUCCCCCCUCCUCCUCAAACACUUAUUAAGGAAGCCCAUUAUAGCCAUACUCUCUCAUUGUUGUUAGAGAUAAUAAAUAUCUACUGACAGUAAGCCCUAUCUGUCUCAUUUUUCUGAUAUACAUAUUUUUUCUCUUACCCUCUCUUUGCUUUGCUAUUACCUUGAGACAGACUUCAUCUCCUCAUACACAUUUGGCAUGACUUUGUUCAAGUAGAAAUCACUAAUUAUCAAGCUGACACACAGCACUGGGGAAUCUCAUGCAUUUUGCUCUCACAGUGGAGGCCUCUGCAUCAGGGCCGAGAGCACCGGAGAGAAUUUCCAUUUGUGAUGCCCCAGAUUUCAGCCACUUAACUGAAAUUCAAAAUUGCUACUGUUUUUCCUUUUCAUGACCUUUUCAGAUGUCGUUUUUUUUCUCUCUCUCUCUAAUCACAGUUCCAUUUAGAACAGAUGACAUUCAGAAAUCCGUACUUCAGUGGUAAUCUGAAUUCUUUUUAUAUCCAGUUUGAAACCCUAAUCACUGCCCUCUUUCCUUCUAUUGCUCAGACACUUGGUAGGUAUUUUAUUAAGCAACAUCUUGCCAGAUUUGAAAGUGCUUUCUCAGAGCCAAGGGGAGUUCUGGAGCAGGUCAGCAGCCCAGAGGAGAUAGGCAGAGAUUAAGUCACACAGAUACAAGUUUAAUAAGGCUUCCAAGGGAAGUGUCAAACCCAAGCGUUUCACUUCCAUUAGUUGUGAGACUACAGCUUUUUACACCUUCCUAAAAAAUGAGGGGUCUAGGUGAGGACACAGAGGGAGGUGGCUAAAACCUUGUUCUUGCUGGAAAAUGUGUUGUCAAGGGGCCUGAGAGCCAACCUGGCCACUGUGGAUUUUCACCUUGGCUUUCUAAUUAUCAUGUAGCUUUUUUUUCUUUCAGAUUUUUAUUCCUUCAUCUGAAAAAUAAGGACAUAACCAUGUCCAAUUAUGUCGUAUGAGGAUUAAAUGGCAUAAGAUAGUGGCUCCCAACCUGUGGGUCACAUAUAUAUCAGAUAUCCUGCAUAUCAGAUUACGGUUUAUAACAGUUAACAAAAUUUCAGUUAUGAAGUAGCAACAAAAUAAUUUUAUGGUUGGGUCACCACAACACCAGUAACUGUUUUAAAGGGUCAGAGCAUUAGGAAGGUUGAGAGUCACUAGCGUAAGACAUACCACGAUUUAGACAUACCAGUGACUCCAUAAUGGCAAUAGUUAUUAGUGCCACAUAUUCAUUUGCCAUUGCUUUUGAACACUUCAAACUAGUUUAUUUGACAUGUGGACUAUUGAUGUUAGCGUAGAGCAGAACAGGUGGGGUUCCUUUUCAGUGCCCAUUUGUUUCUCGCUUAUUUUUAUCUUUAUUUUAAGGAACGAAUUCAGCCUGUACACACAGUCCAACCUCUUUUUGUGAUGCUCAGGUUUAAGAAAAAAGCAUUGUUGACUUUCUUCUAUCUGGGACCAAAGCAAACUGAGACCCAGAUCAGAGCCUAGCUCACCCAGCAUCAGAGAAGAUCUCCCUUUAGUGGAUGGAUGUCAACACAGAGACCCUUAAAUGGACAGCAGGCAGAUAUAAUCGGUCUUAUAUAGAAUGUUAGAGGGGAUAGAUGAUAUCAGGAAAACAGUGCCUUCCAGAUCCAGCAGGACUGGCAUACAUAUGAACUCAAAUGGACUGUAGCAGCAUGCACAGGGCCUGCGCAGUUCAAUCCAGAUGGGGGUGCAAUGGGGAAAGGGAAUGUGGGCAUGGGUUCCAUCCUUAACCAAUAAUCUAUCUUCAAUUGACAUCUGGUUUCAGAAGAAAAAUUAGUUUUCUUCAGUGGAGUCUCUAGGAUAUAGGCGCCACACUUCAGGACAGACUCCAUGCCCAGUAGAUGGCUGACACAAAAUGUCACUGGUAUUUUUUGUAGGCUUUUUGUCUUAUAUUCCUUUGUUAAGUAGGCUUUUUGUUUGUUUGUUUGUUUUUCGUUUUUGGUUUUUUGACCCACUGAGUGAUAGAAGAUGAGGCACCAGGCUGGUGAGAUGACUCAGAAGACAAAGGUGCUUGCUGUGCAAACCUGAAGACCUUAGCUCAGGGUUUGAAGUCAGGUAAAGAUGGGAGGAGAUAACCACUUCCGUAUGUGCUCCAUAUACAUGUGCACCUCUCCUGCAGCUUAAAAUUAAGAAGAUGGGAUUACAGAAUGUGCCAUGUGAGUGGUAAUUUCGGUUCAUUUGAGCACAUCAUGAAACAAUAGACUGUAGCCAGGUAGAAGUGGUCAGAGGGGGCAGACAUACAUGUGAUUUUGACCCAAAAUACUAAAGAAAUCCAAGCAUGACAAACGAGGUGAUGCUUGACAAAUACAUGCUUUUUUCUAAAAAUUACUUUUCAUUUUAUUAACAAGAUACUUAAUAUUUUAUGUUCAGAUAUUAUAAUUACAUAUUCUUUUUUUUUAGGUUUUACUUUUUUUUUUUAUUAACUUGAGUAUUUCUUAUAUACAUUUCGAGUGUUAUUCCCUUUCCCGGUUUCCGGGCAAACAUCCCCCUCCCUCCUCCCCUUUCUUAUCGGUGUUCCCCUCCCCAUCCUCCCCCCAUUGCCGCCCUCCCCCCAACAAUCUAGUUCACUGGGGGUUCAGUCUUAGCAGGACCCAGGGCUUCCCCUUCCACUGGUGCUCUUACUAGGAUAUUCAUUGCUAUCUAUGAGGUCAGAGUCCAGGGUCAGUCCAUGUAUAGUCUUUAGGUAGUGGCUUAGUCCCUGGAAGCUCUGGUUGCUUGACAUUGUUGUACAUAAGGGAUCUCGAGCCCCUUCGAGCUCUUCCAGUUCUUUCUCUGAUUCCUUCAACGGGGGUCCUAUUCUCAGUUCAGUGGUUUGCUGCUGGCAUUCACCUCUGUGUUUGCUGUAUUCUGGCUGUGUCUCUCAGGAGCGAUCUACAUCCGGCUCCUGUCGGCCUGCACGUCUUUGCUUCAUCCAUCUUGUCUAAUUGGAUGGCUGUAUAUGUAUGGGCCACAUGUGGGGCAGGCUCUGAAUGGGUGUUACUUCAGUCUCUUUUAAUCUUUACCUCUCUAUUCCCUGCCAAGGGUAUUCUUGUUCCCCUUUUAAAGAAGGAGUGAAGAAUUCACAUUUUGAUCAUCCGUCUUGAGUUUCAUUUGUUCUAGGCAUCUAGGGUAAUUCAAGCAUUUGGGCUAAUAAUUUCAUAUUCUUAAUAGCAAAAUUCCACAAUUUGGGGAUCUCUGUAAAUUUUGCUUCAUAUUUUUGUUUACAGAAAAAACAAAGAUUAGAAGUGAGAAGGAAAAAGCUUGAAUUGUGAAAAAAAUUUAACUUCUCAGAUAAUAAAACACCUUCAAAAACAUAUUUGACCUUUCAAUAAAGUUUUCACAAAAUAAACAGCCAAAAGAGAUUUAAAAAUUUACUUUCUUACAUAUAAUAUAUAUUAUAUAUAUGAUGUGUGUAUAUAUGUAUGCACAUGCAUGUGCAUGUGCAUGUGUGUGUAGGGAAAAUGUGUUUCUGAUUUUUCCCAUGUGUCCCCAGCCUUCCACAUAAUAUUUUGCAAAUCCUCAUUUAUUUGAAUUUUGUUUUGUUUGUGUUUGGAUGCUGGUAGGGCAGACACACCCUCUCUCACCUGCCAUUACUGACAAUAACAACUUGCCAGUUUCAGAGACAACCACAUUACCUGUAGAGGGCCCUUUGUCUUUCCUGCACUGGCUGACAAUGAGGAGUUGCCACAAAAACUGCCAUUUCUCCUUUUGCUUAUUGGAUGCAUCCCUGCCAUGCAUAUCACUUAUUUUUAAGAAAUCCAAUUUUUAAAAAGAGGAUAGAAAUAGUUAAUGAGUCAGAUCAAAUGGAAUAUAACUGUUUACACUAAGAAGCCAGUGAUUUUAUAAGGUUAUUUCUUAGUGACCUUAAACAACAGGAAUUAAGAGAAGAUUGUCACAUAAUACAGAAGGAUUAUCAUAAGUACCAUCAUGUGAAGAUAUUUAUUGAGUGAAACAAAUUAACUUUUGUCCAUGUUUUCAAGGGGCAAAGUUAACCUUGUUUCAUAUCCCUUUGGAUCCCAGUGACCUCUUUAAAGGAUAUUAAAUGUUUCAUUUUUUUCUAGAAAGCCAUAGCAAUUAAUGAAGAACAAUUAAAUGGAAGUUUCUUUUGGGAUACUUGUACCCUUGGUAAUUUAUAGUACAUUGGGUACUAUGACAGUCAUAUUAAAGGAAAAAUUUAAUAUUUAAACUGUUAUUCUAAUUUUAGAAAAAAAUUAUUUUUGUUCUGGUUAAUAUUUUGUUUUAUUUAGUGUAUUCCAUACAUAAAAAAUUUCAAGGCCAUUUUUUAGGUUCAUUUGGAUAAACCAUUUUUUCAGCACUGUUUUUGUUUCUGUUUGAAACCACAGCAAAACUAGUAAGAGUGCUUUGUCUCAAAGUAACGUGCAGCAGCAUCGGACUCAUUCAUGGAAGCAUCGAAUCAGUUCUACUAGAGCAACUUAUUUUUAAAAUCACUUGUAUUUUAUGUGUAUGAGUGUUUUGCAUGCAUGAAAGCAUGUGCAAUUUUUCCAUGCAUGAUACCAUCAGAGGCCAGAAGAGGACCUCAGGUCACCUAGAGUGGGAGCUACAGACAGUUGUGAGUCACCAUGGAAAGUAAAUUCUGGUCCUCCGGAAGAACAGACAGAGCUUUUGAUUGUUGAGGUACCUCUUCAUCUCCAAGCAACUAUUUUUUCAUUCUGAAGAUCAACAUUUUCAUUGUGGUGCUGGGAACCUGACCUUGAGGUUUGCACAUGCUAGACUAGAGCUCUUAACACUACGCUCCUAGCUCUAAAGAUCAAUGAUAAAGUUAUAGAUAACCAAGUUCAGAGCUGAGCAGGGUGGGGUCCACAAUGCACACACACAUGCCACAGGGAAGAUAAUUGCACUCUUAGGAAUAGUCUACCCCAUUCCAUUCCGUGACCAUUCUCACCAAUUCUGCCAGCAAGUUUGGAAGGUGAAUCCACUCCUACCUACAGAAAGGCUGCCACUAACCUUAGGCUUCCCAGCUCAUAAUUGGUGACCUGUCUUUAUGCCAAUUUGUUACUGUGACUUUUCCCAGGCCCAAACUUCAAACUUAAGACUUCCAGACCUCCAAAGUUUUUGCUUUCUUUUUUGAUUUUGCAACAUGAAAAACAACUUCAUUUAGGUCAGGCUAGCCUUAAAUUCCUUUUCCUCCAACUGAAUCUUCCGAGUGCUGGGAUUACAGGUGUGUAUCUUGAGGCCAACUGAAUUAAUGUAUCUUUAUUAAACCAACCUCUGAUUCUAAUGCUUUUAUUAUCUAUUCCCUCUUAAAUCUGUCUAAUUUCUUCCUAUUUUUUGACAUCUUUGAUUUAUCAAACAUUAUUUAUCAUCUAGAAUAGUGAGAUUUCUUUUUUCAAUUUCAAUGACACAUGGCCAACCAUCAUGUAAAACACUAUCUCAGUACAAUAAGGAUCACAUUUAUUAUUAUUAUUGUUAUUAUUAUUUACAUUUCUUUGCUGUGUUUGUGUCUAUCUGUCUGUACUUGUAUGCAUAUGGGUGUGUGUACCAUAGCAUAGGUGUAGAGGUUGGAGGGCAGUUUACAGAAGUCUGCUUUCUUCUUCUACUGUUGUGGCUCGCAGGGAACAAACUCAUGUUUAAGUGUUGGUAGCAAGUACCUUUACCUACUGAGCUAUUUUGCAAGCCCAAGAGUUAAGUUAUUAGUGCUGCAUGGAGAAGGAGAGAGAGAGAGAGAGAGAGAGAGAGAGAGAGAGAGAGAGAGAUGAAAAAGAAAAUUCAUAUAAUUUUUAUUGCAUAUUGUUAUUGAUGUAUUGUUUUAUUAUUGUUUAGCUCUUUAGUACUCUCUGUGGUGUCAGACAUUCUUUAAAGAUCUUGGAGAGUUAAUAUUCCAAAGAUUGGUGAUUCUGUAGUCUACUCUGACCCAUAGAGUGCUUGCUGAACCAUUCUCCAUUUAGUUAGCAGAGACAUCUGUUUGAGGAGCUAAUCUGAUCCCCCCACUCUGAGGUUUAACACAUUUCAGUAACCUAUCAAUCAUUUACCUUACAUCUUGUGUGAUGCACUAUGCCCUCUAUUCUGCCUUACAUACUGUGUCUCUCCAGUAUUCUCUGCCUUGCUUUCACUCCCUCAUGUUCUGUGCCUUUCUUUCCCGUAGGCUUUUGUCUCUUAGAUCAUUCUUCCUUGUCAUGUAUCAUGCUGAACUUUGACAAGUUAACUCCUAUGCACUCUGGAGCUAAGAGAGAGUAUUAGAGCUUGCCUUCUUGAGCUUCCAGUCUUGGUCAUGGAAUUUCAUUUGGUCUGGUUUUGCAUACACCUGAGUCAACACUCAAGUUCUCUUCUGUUUCUAUAGCAUGCACAGAAGCUUCUGUACUUCAUCAAUGAGGUUUUAUUUGACUAACUGAAGGUCCAUUAGGGCAGUGACCAUUCUACCUCUGAUAUACACGGCUGCCUUCCACUCAUUGGAAAUAUUAAAGAAUGUCAGCCAAAAGAAGAUAAAAUGAAUACAUUUUGCUGUGCUUCUACUUAAUGUUCCCAGUAUGCAAACAACUCUCUAUUAAUAAAAAGUUAUUCCUAGAAGGCAGAAAUAAUGCAUCUCAACAAACAAAGUGGGGCUUAAGAAAAUCAUCAUGAACUAAAGUAGUUUCGAUACUCUUGCUUUUUACAGACUCAGCCAGCAGAAUCAACAAGUCUGUCAGUAAUCCUAUUUGGAUUAGCAUUCUGUGAAGCAUAUUAAAGACGAACACUUUAUCUUUCCAAGGCUUUGCUUUUCUAUAUUAAUACUGCUGCUAUUUAUAAUUGUGAGAAUUCAAAAUACCUCCAAUAUUUCAGCGUUCUAUAUACAUGAUUUCCUGAAAUAGAGUUUUCUCAUAUCACUCCAUUUUAGCCUCAGCACAUUUAUUUUAAAGUACAAGAAUUAUAGGAAUUAUCAAUUUAUGAGCUUGAUAAGCUUUUGCAUACAGUAGGCCUACAACUAAGAGCUAUGAACAAUAAAUUGUUAAAUUAAAAUUCCCUAAAGCACUUCUAUUUGAAUUAAACUUAGAACAUAAAAAGCUCAAAUCUUAUUGAACACAGAGCAGCAUAUAUAUAUAUAUAUAUAUAUAUAUAUAUAUAUAUGCUUCCUUUUCUGUGAGUAAGUGAAAGCAGAAUUUCUACAUUUUUAAAUGUAUGAAAUUAAAAAGAGGACAUUUAGGAAUUACCAGCUUACUAUAAUUUUUAUUUUUCAUUGAUAACAUGCUUAAUUAGAAGAGGGUAUAAAUUAAAUUUCAUAGAACGUUGGCUCAAGAGUCCUAAAGAUAAUCUUGCUGUCGUUAGUUGUAGGCCAGAAGGGCUACAUCUUAUUGAAUCUUAACCUCCCUACCACUUCCUUCAACUCCCUUUAAAAAAAUCAAUUUUUAACUGUAGGCUAAUCAAUGUUUGGAAAAAUGGUGUGUCUUGAGCACGGGGUGGAGAAACAUAUGCUUCAUUACUUGCUGCUAAAUUAGGAAAUUAGCUUAAGUAAUAGGCUAUUCAAUCAGAUGUCUUGGUCAACUCUACCUAACAUCAAAGAAAUGAACUUCAUUUAACAGGUAUUUUUUUUCCUCCAUUUUUAUUAUAUUGGGCAUUUCUUAUUUACAUUUCUUUUUUUCCCUCCAUCUUUAUUAAAUUGGGUAUUUCUUAUUUACACUUCAAUUGUUAUUCCCUUUCCCGGCCAACAUCCCCCUAACCCCUCCCCCUCCCCUUCUAUAUGGGUGUUCCUCUCCCCAUUCUUCCCCCAUUACUGCCCUCCCCCCAACAAUCACGUUCACUGGGGGUUCAGUCUUGGCAGGAACAAGGGCUUCCCCUUCCACUGGUGCUCUUACUAGGCUAUUCAUUGUUACCUAUGAGGUUGGAGCCCAGGGUCAGUCCAUGUAUAGUCUUUGGGUAGUGGCUUAGUCCCUGGAAGCUCUGGUUGGUUGACAUUGUUGCUCAUGUGGGGUCUCAAGCUCCUUCAAGCUCUUCCAGUCCUUUCUCUGAAUCCUUCAACAGGGGUCCCUUAACAGGUAUUUUAAAUUCAUCUGAGUUUGUACUCCUCUAUUUUCUCCUGAAACUUGAACUUAUGCAUAAAAUUGGAGAGUGGGCCAAUCAAAAAUGUUUUCUUUUUUGUAAUAGUAUAGUAAGAAAUGCUUUAAAAAUCCUUUAUUUCAUGACAAAAAAUGUGGUUACUGUAAGUGAGGGACUAAGUUUUAAUAUCAUAUGUCUUCAAUGAAUUAAUAUUGUACUAAAAAUCCUUUAUUUCCUUGUUUUUAAGUAUCGCAAAUGGUAGGUAUGGAUCUGAGGACUUUGGUUUUCAGAAUAUUUCCAGCAAGUAGAUUAUUUGGCUCCUUCUAGUAUUGCAUAAUUUAUGUUCAUAGAUGAUAAGGGAAUUCCCCUCCCUCCAAUUAACGAAGAUUUUAGUCCAUUUCAUGUGUUUGAUAUUUAACAUUCCAAGAAUAGACAAUGAGGUCAGUGGAAACUUCUGAGUCAGAAAGUGAUGCCUGCUUCUAUUUUGACUGAAUUGUUCUAGGUCCAGAGUGGCUUUUUGGCAUAGGAAGUCAGACUCAGCAUCAUUAAUCAUUAAGGAAUCGGUAGAGAAUCCCUCACAAAUAUACACCCUCUGCA